CCCUAGCCCUGAUGGUCCCGAAGCUUCGGGAGUCAUGCUUUUUCUGGCUUCUUUAGCCAGGAAAAGAUAUAGCGGACAGCAGGAAACAGC
RNAcentral lists this small RNA (90 nucleotides) under Flavobacterium pectinovorum. Its description in RNAcentral is "Flavo-1 RNA". The record is from RNAcentral. Lineage: Bacteria; Pseudomonadati; Bacteroidota; Flavobacteriia; Flavobacteriales; Flavobacteriaceae.